AUUGAACGCUGGCGGCAUGCCUUACACAUGCAAGUCGAACGGUAACAGGUCUUCGGAUGCUGACGAGUGGCGAACGGGUGAGUAAUACAUCGGAACGUGCCCGAUCGUGGGGGAUAACGAGGCGAAAGCUUUGCUAAUACCGCAUACGAUCUACGGAUGAAAGCGGGGGAUCUUCGGACCUCGCGCGGACGGAGCGGCCGAUGGCAGAUUAGGUAGUUGGUGGGAUAAAAGCUUACCAAGCCGACGAUCUGUAGCUGGUCUGAGAGGAUGAUCAGCCACACUGGGACUGAGACACGGCCCAGACUCCUACGGGAGGCAGCAGUGGGGAAUUUUGGACAAUGGGCGAAAGCCUGAUCCAGCCAUGCCGCGUGCAGGAUGAAGGCCUUCGGGUUGUAAACUGCUUUUGUACGGAACGAAAAGCCUCUUUCUAAUAAAGAGAGGUCAUGACGUACCUAAGAUAG
Molecule: ribosomal RNA, 461 nt
Filed under: Diaphorobacter nitroreducens
Lineage: Bacteria; Pseudomonadati; Pseudomonadota; Betaproteobacteria; Burkholderiales; Comamonadaceae
Description: bacterial SSU rRNA
Rfam family: Bacterial small subunit ribosomal RNA
Source: RNAcentral